Molecule: ribosomal RNA, 433 nt
Filed under: uncultured bacterium
Lineage: Bacteria
Description: partial 16S ribosomal RNA
Rfam family: Bacterial small subunit ribosomal RNA
Source: RNAcentral
AACGAACGCUGGCGGCAUGCCUAACACAUGCAAGUCGAACGAGACCUUCGGGUCUAGUGGCGCACGGGUGCGUAACGCGUGGGAACCUGCCCUUAGGUUCGGAAUAACUCCCCGAAAGGGGUGCUAAUACCGGAUAAUGUCUUCGGACCAAAGAUUUAUCGACUUUGGAUGGGCCCGCGUUGGAUUAGCUUGUGGGUAGGGUAAAAGCCUACCAAGGCGACGAUCCAUAGCUGGUCUGAGAGGAUGAUCAGCCACACUGGGACUGAGACACGGCCCAGACUCCUACGGGAGGCAGCAGUGGGGAAUAUUGGACAAUGGGCGAAAGCCUGAUCCAGCAAUGCCGCGUGAGUGAUGAAGGCCUUAGGGUUGUAAAGCUCUUUUACCCGGGAUGAUAAUGACAGUACCGGGAGAAUAAGCACCGGCUAACUCCGUG